UACGUAGGGGGCAAGCGUUGUCCGGAUUUAUUGGGCGUAAAGAGCGUGUAGGCGGUCAGGUAGGUCCGUUGUGAAAACUCGAGGCUCAACCUCGGGUCUGCAGUCGAUACGAGCAAACUAGAGUGUUGCAGGGGAGACUGGAAUUCCUGGUGUAGCGGUGGAAUGCGCAGAUAUCAGGAGGAACACCGGUGGCGAAGGCGGAUCUCUGGGCCGUAACUGACGCUGAGGAGCGAAAGCAUGGGGAGCGAACAGG
RNAcentral lists this ribosomal RNA (253 nucleotides) under uncultured bacterium. RNAcentral's name for it is "partial 16S ribosomal RNA". It matches the Rfam family "Bacterial small subunit ribosomal RNA", at positions 524 to 776 of the family's 1533-position model. The record is from RNAcentral.